Molecule: ribosomal RNA, 651 nt
Filed under: Diptera sp. MQ132
Lineage: Eukaryota; Metazoa; Arthropoda; Insecta; Diptera
Description: SSU rRNA
Rfam family: Eukaryotic small subunit ribosomal RNA
Source: RNAcentral
UGCAUGUCUAAGUACACACGAAUUAAAAGUGAAACCGCAAAAGGCUCAUUAUAUCAGUUAUGGUUCCUUAGAUCGUUAACAGUUACUUGGAUAACUGUGGUAAUUCUAGAGCUAAUACAUGCAUUAUAAACACGGACCUCCGGGACGUGUGCUUUUAUUAGGCUAAAACCAAGCGAUCGAGAGAUCGUUCUUAUGGUUGAACUCUAGAUAACUUGCAGAUCGCAUGGUCUUGUACCGGCGACAGAUCUUUCAAAUGUCUGCCCUAUCAACUUUUGAUGGUAGUAUUUAGGACUACCAUGGUUGCAACGGGUAACGGGGAAUCAGGGUUCGAUUCCGGAGAGGGAGCCUGAGAAACGGCUACCACAUCUAAGGAAGGCAGCAGGCGCGUAAAUUACCCACUCCCAGCUCGGGGAGGUAGUGACGAAAAAUAACAAUACAGGACUCAUAUUAGAGGCCCUGUAAUUGGAAUGAGUACACUUUAAAUCCUUUAACAAGGACCUAUUGGAGGGCAAGUCUGGUGCCAGCAGCCGCGGUAACUCCAGCUCCAAUAGCGUAUAUUAAAGUUGUUGCGGUUAAAACGUUCGUAGUUGAACUUGUGCUUCAUACGGGUAGUACAACUAUAAUUGUAGUUUGUACUGUACCUUAUGUAUG